AAGAGAGAACGAUUGCUGGUUUCGCUGGCUGAAAUACCAGUCGUAUUAUGCAUUUAUUAUACUUACACAGCAAGACAACAAAGAUAGAGCAAGGGAAUAAACUGCAGGAGAACUACAUUGUCAGGAAGAGAUGCCUUGGCUCUACUAAGAGGUAA
RNAcentral lists this long non-coding RNA (155 nucleotides) under Anser brachyrhynchus (Pink-footed goose). Its description in RNAcentral is "lncRNA (ENSABRG00000016624.1)". The record is from RNAcentral. Lineage: Eukaryota; Metazoa; Chordata; Aves; Anseriformes; Anatidae.